RNAcentral lists this long non-coding RNA (1511 nucleotides) under Canis lupus familiaris (dog). Its description in RNAcentral is "lncRNA (ENSCAFG00845004300.1)". Lineage: Eukaryota; Metazoa; Chordata; Mammalia; Carnivora; Canidae. The record is from RNAcentral.
GAAUAAAAAAAUAAAAUCUUAAAAGAAAAAAAAAAGUUUCCUCCAACCCCACAGAAGCCAGUAGCAUUGCCUGAAAUGAAUAAAAUGGGGUAGCCUGUGUGACAAAAGAAGACAGUAAGUUCAAUUUGGGACAGGUUCAGUUUGAGGUGUUUAGAUGGGCCCUGGGCAGGUUAGGUAAUCUCUCUGUACUACUUCGUCUGAAAAAUGGGAUAAUAACAUAAAUACUUGAUAGGUCAUUGUGAAAAUUCAAUGAAUUAGUGUGUGCAAACUAUAACUGUGCAGUGCAUAAUAAAUUCUACACAUGUUAAUCAUUAUGAUGUGUCGGGAAGCCUGGGUGGCAGUGGUUGAGCGUCUGCCUUCCGCUCAGGGCAUGAUCCCAGGAUCACUUCUGGGAUCCAGUACUGCACCGGGCUUGCCCCACAAGGAGCCUGCUUCUCCCUCUGCCUGUGUCUCUGCCUCUCUCUGUGUCUCUCAUGAAUAAAUAAAAUCUUUUUAAAAAAUCAUUAUGAUGGGUCUAGAACUCUAGUUUGAACUAUAGAUAGCAAUACAGCAGUUGUCUACAUGUUAAUGACUACUGAUGAUAUGCAAGGAACAGAGCAAAAGAGAACGCCAGGAGGAGUGGAUCCAAAAGAGGACACGAGCUACCAGGGAGGCAGAUGGAGAACCUGCAGCCCCCAGGCUGGAAAACAGUCUAGAGAGAGACUGCCUUCUCCUGCUUAAGGGGAGCAGCUUCAAAGAACCUGAAUGUCCCCAACUUAACCAAGGGGCUGGAAAAUACUUUUCUAAGUAUUGAGAACAGAACUGCUGCAGCGCCAGCAGGAAUACGUGGCCCAACAGCCAAGAAAGGAAGUCCCAUGUUAGAGCACGGGAUGCAGACAGGGCUUUCACUCCAGGAUCUGCAGGAAGGACGAGCUAAGGUCUGGCCACCAUGUGCCACCACUGCCAGGGAUCAAAGGCUUUACCUACGUUACAAAGGCUCUUGAAGUCUGUGUUGGUUUCCUCGGCGCCUGCCACCUUCAGGGACAUCCGACGCCACACGCGGCCUGGGAGCCCAGAGGGCCAGAAGGGCCUCACCGACGCCGGAAGUAGAACCAAGCCCCGCGCGCAGGCUGGAAGAUCAACCCCCAAACUAAGCAACCUGUUCCUACAACAGAUACUUGUGAAGAAGAAACUUGCUAGGGGACCAUAAUAGGAAGAUUCAUUAAAAAUGACCCAUGGAACUCUAUUUUAAGAGAAUCGCAGAAAAGAGAUAACAGAUAAUUGAGACAAAAUAGUUGAGAAAAUUUAGGGAUGCUGGGUGGCUCAGCAGGUGAGCCUCUGCCUUCUGCCCAGGGUGUGAUCUUGGGGUCAGGGGGUCAAGUCCCCCACUGGGCUCCCUGUAUGGAGCCUGCUUCUCCCUCUGCCUUUGUCUCUGCCUCUCUCUGUGUCUCUAAUGAAUGAAUGAAUGAAUGAAUAAAUAAAUAAAUAAAUAAAUAAAUAAAUAAAUGUUUUAAAAAUAGUUGAGAAAAUUU